RNAcentral lists this long non-coding RNA (981 nucleotides) under Marmota monax (woodchuck). The record is from RNAcentral. Lineage: Eukaryota; Metazoa; Chordata; Mammalia; Rodentia; Sciuridae.
GUGUCAUCAGGAAAAUACAAAUGAGAACCAAAUCCACAUUUACUAGAAAGGCUAAAAUGUGAACGAAUUGGCAAUACAAAGUGUUAGUAGAGUGAAACAUCUAGAAUCCUCAAAGACUGUUGGUAGAAGGGCAAAAUGGUAAAAUUGUUUUGGAAGCAGUUUUGUAGUUUCUUGUCAAGUUGACCAUGAUUGUAUUAUAUUUGUCAUGAAUUGUGCUUUAAGAGUAUUUAAUGGCUUAAAAUACAAGUAAUUUCUUUCUUUCAUCUCUUAUGGUUUCUGUGGGUCAGAAGUUGAGACAGGGCACAGUAGAAGGUAGUCUCCGCCACAUCUGGGCAGAGCUGGAAGACUGUGAAGCUGGAGGAAUCGUCAGAGGCUGUUCAUUCACAGGACUAGUAAGUUGAUGUUGGUGUUGGCUGGGGGCCAUCAUCUGAAAUACCCGUAUAUGGAUGUUUCAUGUGACCAGGGCUUCUUCACAGCACAGUGCCUGGGUUUGCUAGGCAGGAUUCCACAGAAAGGAGCAAGAGGAAUGGAAAGAGGGGGCAGGAGAGAGAUCCCUGAAGGCAGGGAUCAUGUGUUACCCAUUUUUAAAUCAUCACAAUGUCUUCAACCUUAUAAGCAAUCCUAUUGUUUGACUAGCACAUUUUUCAAAACAGGUUUGUUAGUCUGUGUUAUGAUUAAUUUUGUGUGUUGGACCACAGUGUCUAUAUAUUGGGUCAAACAUUAUCCUGAUUGUGUCUGUGAAGAUGUUUUUGGAUGACACUAACAUUUAAAUUGGUGAACUAUGUAGUAAAGCAGACUACCCUUUAUAAUGUGGGUCAGCUUCAUGCAAUCACUUAAAGGCCUAAAUAGAACAACACCCCCACCCCCACCCCAGGCCAGAGGGAAAUUCAGGCAUUCCACCAGCACAAGUUUUUUGGGCUUGAAGGACAACACUGGCUCUUUUCUGGGUCUCUAGCCGGCUAGCAUACCCAGGAAAUUUUG